GUCUACAGCCAUGCUACCCUGAACAUGUCCGAUCCCGUCUGAUCUCAGAAGCUAAGCAGGAUUAGGCCUGGUUAGUACUUGGAUGGGAGACCACCUAGGAAUACCAGGUGCUGUGGGCA
Molecule: ribosomal RNA, 119 nt
Filed under: Pteropus alecto (black flying fox)
Lineage: Eukaryota; Metazoa; Chordata; Mammalia; Chiroptera; Pteropodidae
Source: RNAcentral